This 464-nucleotide ribosomal RNA is filed under the name uncultured bacterium. RNAcentral describes it as "partial 16S ribosomal RNA". It matches the Rfam family "Bacterial small subunit ribosomal RNA", at positions 29 to 507 of the family's 1533-position model. The record is from RNAcentral.
ACGCACGCUGGCGGCGUGCUUCACACCUGCAAGUCGCACGGAAAGGCCCUGCUUGCAGGGUACUCGAGUGGCGAACGGGUGAGUAACACGUGGGUGAUCUGCCCUGCACUUCGGGAUAAGCCUGGGAAACUGGGUCUAAUACCGGAUAGGAGCCAUUUUUAGUGUGAUGGUUGGAAAGUUUUUUCGGUGUAGGAUGAGCUCGCGGCCUAUCAGCUUGUUGGUGGGGUAAUGGCCUACCAAGGCGGCGACGGGUAGCCGGCCUGAGAGGGUGGACGGCCACAUUGGGACUGAGAUACGGCCCAGACUCCUACGGGAGGCAGCAGUGGGGAAUAUUGCACAAUGGGCGCAAGCCUGAUGCAGCGACGCCGCGUGGGGGAUGACGGCCUUCGGGUUGUAAACUCCUUUCGCUAGGGACGAAGCUUUUCGUGACGGUACCUAGAGAAGAAGCACCGGCUAACUACGUG